GCGACGCCAAGGCCAUGGCUGCAACUCCGGCCGAUGUGAAGGAGUACCCGAAUUCCUAUGUGUUUGUGAUCGACAUGCCGGGGCUCAAGUCAGGGGACAUCAAGGUGCAGGUGGAGGAUGACAAUGUGCUUGUGAUCAGCGGAGAGAGGAAGAGGGAGGACGAGAAAGAGGGGGCUAAGUAUGUGAGGAUGGAGAGGAGGGUUGGUAAGUUUAUGAGGAAGUUUUCGCUGCCUGAGAAUGCUAAUGUUGAAGCCAUUUCUGCUGUUUGCCAAGAUGGUGUUCUGACUGUCAAUGUGGAGAAGCUGCCGCCGCCUCAGCCAAAGAAGCCCAAGACUAUCGAGGUGAAGAUUGCUUAAGAGUUUAUGUGUGAUGUGGGUUGUUUUCUGAAUAAUUAGGGUGAUGGGUAUGAGUGAAAUGUAGGGGGAUUACCAGUGUGCUUUCCAUAUGAUGUUU
Molecule: long non-coding RNA, 453 nt
Filed under: Fragaria vesca (wild strawberry)
Lineage: Eukaryota; Viridiplantae; Streptophyta; Magnoliopsida; Rosales; Rosaceae
Description: long non-coding RNA (FVES_LNC003089)
Source: RNAcentral